CCUACGGGAGGCUGCAGUGGGGAAUAUUGCACAAUGGGGGAAACCCUGAUGCAGCGACGCCGCGUGAGUGAAGAAGUAAUUCGUUAUGUAAAGCUCUAUCAGCAGGGAAGAAAAUGACGGUACCUGAUGAAGAAGCCCCGGCUAACUACGUGCCAGCAGCCGCGGUCAUACGUAGGGGGCAAGCGUUAUCCGGAUUUACUGGGUGUAAAGGGAGCGUAGAGGGCAGUGCAAGUCUGCGGUGAAAGGCGGGGGCUCACCCCCCGGACUACUCUGGAAACUGUACGGAUGGAGUGCAGGAGAGGUAAGUGGAAUUCCUAGUGUAGCGGUGAAAUGCGUAGAUAUUAGAAGGAACACCAGUGGCGAAGGCGGCUUACUGGACUGUAACUGACGUUGAGGCACGAAAGCGUAGGGAGCAAACAGGAUUAGAUACCCUUGUAGUC
RNAcentral lists this ribosomal RNA (440 nucleotides) under uncultured bacterium. RNAcentral's name for it is "partial 16S ribosomal RNA". It matches the Rfam family "Bacterial small subunit ribosomal RNA", at positions 338 to 795 of the family's 1533-position model. The record is from RNAcentral.